Long non-coding RNA from Bubalus bubalis (water buffalo), 654 nucleotides. RefSeq lists it as uncharacterized. The record is from RefSeq and is a predicted model, not a curated record. The transcript is spliced from 3 exons. Lineage: Eukaryota; Metazoa; Chordata; Mammalia; Artiodactyla; Bovidae.
CGCCAUAGAGACCGAUGCUGUUAAGAGCUAGAGGGCCUGGAGAAGGUGGGGAGUGAGGAUGAAGGUGUCUCUGGCUUUGGGUGCGGGAGGGGGUAGAGGAGAGAGCUACCGAGGGAUUCGUGAGUGCUGAUUGAAAUUGGGACAGCUUUCGCUUUGUCUCCCUGUCAAACCCAGUUGUGCAUGGAAGGGUUAGUCCGUCGCGUCAAAGGCAGGGACAACUGAGCCCCUAAAGGAAUCCUUGAGAACCCGGGAGUGGGCAUUUCACUUUUUCUGCGAUUAGGGAGUCCCUCGGCCUCUACCCUUUGGCCUUUGACACGUGUGCACCUUCUGCUUCUCCAGGAAAGUUUGUCAACCCUGGAUUUAGUUUACCCCAGAUUUUAAAAAUCAGGAGGAAAUUUUUUAAAAAAUCUGAAACAGGAUGUCUUCUUUAAGCCACCCUCCUGUGUUUAUAGAGGUACUGCAAUUUGGAUUUGCAAGUUGGAUUUUGGUACUGCAAGUUGGAUUUUCCCAAUGAAUGAAGUUCAGCUCUUUAAAAUAUUUAUUGGCCUUUUGGUUAUCAGCUUCCGUGUUUUGUUUUGUUUUUGUGGAGUGGCUAUUCAGGCCUUCUGCCCCAGUUUCUAUUGUGCAGUCUGCCUUUCCUUAUUUACUUCUAUG